AAACAUUUCUAUUAAAUAUAAUUAAUAGUAAAAUCUGCUCAAUGAAAAUUAAAUAGCCGCAAUAUGUGCUAAGGUAGUGAAAUAACUUGUCUUAUAAUUUAAGACCAAACAAAAGAUUUAACAUUUUAAUUAAUAUAAAAAUUUUAAAUAUUAAAAUUAUUUUUAUUUUUAUAAAAAAAUUAUACUUUAAAAAGACGAUAAGACCCUAUUAAACUUUACUUUAGUUCAACUGGGGAAGUUUUUUAAAAAAAUUUUAACCAUUUUAUAUAAUUAUAUAGUCCUAAUAAAAUUAAUUAAAAGAUUAAGUUACUAUAGGGAUAACAGCGUAAUAAUAUUUUUGAGAUCUUAUUAAAAAAAUUGAUUGCGACCUCGAUGUUGAAUUAAUAUUCUAAUUUCACGCAGUAGUGAAUAGAGACAGUCUGUUCGACUUUUAAAUAAUUACAUGAUCUGA
RNAcentral lists this ribosomal RNA (451 nucleotides) under Spinoctenus escalerete. RNAcentral's name for it is "partial large subunit ribosomal RNA". Lineage: Eukaryota; Metazoa; Arthropoda; Arachnida; Araneae; Ctenidae. The record is from RNAcentral.